GGGAGGUUUGAGACAGAGGUAACUCCUGAUUUCAUUUUUAGUUUUGACUGCUUCACACAAUUGUCAGCAUAUAGAAGAUUAAUGUGAUGCAAUGCCUUUGACCUUUCUCAGUUGUAUGAUAUUCAUUAUUGGCCACUAGACUCGCAACACAUGCUAACUUUUCCUCUUUACAAUUAUUGAAAUUGUCAAAACUUAAUGACAUACAUAUGAAUCUGCUAAAGGCAAAUACAAGGUACCUCUUUUCCUUAUUUUCUCUUGGACCUAUCGUAUUGUCAUAUUGUCGUAGACGCAUGGAAUGAAACAAAACUCUGAAUUGAAAAGGCUGGGAAGUUUUUACCAAAAAGGAGAGUUGAAAGGAAGCACAAACAUAUCAUGUCACAUUUAUUUGCUGUAAAAUGAAGCAUUUAAACUUUACAUAUCCUAAUUUUGACUCUGGGAAAAGACUAGUAUAAAAUUGUCAUUGGCCCCUAUUAUUCCUUCAUGGAACAAGGAAUAGCAUGGAAGUUUGGUAACUCCUAAUUCACAAGAAAGCAGUGCUUGGUUGUCCCGUUUAUUCAUCAAUUACAUCUUCCAAUGACAUGAUUUUUUGGCUAUAAUGGUGGCAGGCUUCAGGAAAUGUUACCCUUGAAACAGUGCACACAAUUGGAUAAAACGGUGUUAGCUGCAUUUCUAGAUGGCAGGUGAAAAUAGGAGUAAGAAAAAAAAAAGCUAAGGAGACGGGGGUUCCCAGAGACCACCAGAAAACCUUGCGAUUAGAGAUAGAAGCCCGUCGCCACGUCUCCCGCCACGCGACGCUCCAUUGCCACGUCUUCCAAUACCGAGUCGUUCGAUAGAGUGUCAAACAAACAAAGGCAUGUUUGAAUGUUAAUGUUGUGGUUGAUUUGUGGAUUGUGUAAGUGUUUUGUGGAUGUUUGCGAGGGGGUGAAGUAGUCUAAUGUUGUAGACUAACUUAGUCUAAUGUCGUAGACUAACUUAGUGUAGAUCUACUAGUUUAAUGUUUUGUGGAUGUUUGCAAAGGUUGUGAAGUAGUUUAAUGUUGUGUAGAUGUUUGCGAAUGUUGAAGUAGCUUAAUGUCUCUUCGGAAUGUUUGAAUGACGUUUUGAUUCAACUUUGAAA
Long non-coding RNA from Lycium barbarum (goji berry), 1116 nucleotides. RefSeq lists it as uncharacterized. NCBI's taxonomy places the organism in Eukaryota, Viridiplantae, Streptophyta, Magnoliopsida, Solanales, Solanaceae. The transcript is spliced from 2 exons. The record is from RefSeq and is a predicted model, not a curated record.